UGAAUGUUAAAAUUAAAGUUGAAUAUUAUUAGUUAUAAUCAUUAUUAAUCUAAAUUCUAUUGGACUUUUUUGAGGAUAAGCUCGAAAAUUGCUGUUGAGAACUGUAUAAUAAAAAUUUUAUUAUGUGGGCUUAAGAUUAGUCAUCAUAAAAGUUUGUUAUAAAAUAGUGAAAAUAUAUAAAAAUAUUUCUAUACGUAAUGCCAUGUUAAACUAUAAGAAUAAUAAUCUAAAUCAAUAGGCUAGUACACCUAUGCUAGGAUGAGUAUUAAAAUUACCGUAGGAAAAAUUAAAGAUUUUCUUAAAAAUUACUUCUAACAUUAAUUAAAGAUAAGGAAUUCGGCAAAUGUUGUUCCGCCUGUUUAUCAAAAACAUGGCUCUUUGAAAAAAAUAUAUAAAGAGUCGAACCUGCCCAGUGAAAUUUUUUAACGGCCGCGGUACCCUGACCGUGCAAAGGUAGCAUAAUCACUUGCCCUAUAAUUGAGGGCUGGCAUGAAUGGUCUGACGAGAACUGCACUGUCUCUUCUUUAUUAUUUAGAAAUUAACCUAUAGGUGAAGAGGCCUAUAUUAUAUUGAAGGACAAGAAGACCCUGUCGAGCUUAAAAGUAAAGUAAAAUAACAGUUAUAAAAAAAUCAAUAAUUACAUAGCUUUUUAGUUGGGGCGACUAAGGAACAAAUAAAGCUUCUUUUAUUUCUAUAAAUUAACAGAUCUUGAUCCAGCUAACGCUGAUUAGAGGAAUUAGUUACCGCAGGGAUAACAGCAUAAUCUCCUUUAAGAGACCUAAUCGAAAAGGGGGGUUGUGACCUCGAUGUUGGACUAGAAUAUCCUGAAGAUGCAGACGUCU
RNAcentral lists this ribosomal RNA (842 nucleotides) under Thiara australis. RNAcentral describes it as "partial large subunit ribosomal RNA". It matches the Rfam family "Bacterial large subunit ribosomal RNA", at positions 1422 to 2564 of the family's 2925-position model. The record is from RNAcentral. Lineage: Eukaryota; Metazoa; Mollusca; Gastropoda; Thiaridae.